This 128-nucleotide small nuclear RNA is filed under the name Anas platyrhynchos platyrhynchos (common mallard). RNAcentral's name for it is "U11 spliceosomal RNA (ENSAPLG00000000253.2)". It matches the Rfam family "U11 spliceosomal RNA". Lineage: Eukaryota; Metazoa; Chordata; Aves; Anseriformes; Anatidae. The record is from Rfam by way of RNAcentral.
AAAAAGGGCUUCUGCCGUGCGUGGCACGGGGGGGGCCUCGGCCGCCCCCGCGGAAUCGACAUCAAGAGAUUUCGGAAGCACAAUUUUUGCGCGCGGGGCCGCCGGUAACCGACAGUGACGGCGCCCCA